This 73-nucleotide transfer RNA is filed under the name Ictidomys tridecemlineatus (thirteen-lined ground squirrel). RNAcentral's name for it is "Spermophilus tridecemlineatus (thirteen-lined ground squirrel) tRNA". It matches the Rfam family "tRNA". Rfam says of the family: Transfer RNA (tRNA) molecules are approximately 80 nucleotides in length. Their secondary structure includes four short double-helical elements and three loops (D, anti-codon, and T loops). The record is from Rfam by way of RNAcentral. Lineage: Eukaryota; Metazoa; Chordata; Mammalia; Rodentia; Sciuridae.
GGGGAUGGGGCUCCGUGGGUAGAGCGCUUGCCUUAUAUGCACAAGGGCCUGGGUUCAAUCCCCAGCACUACCA